Molecule: long non-coding RNA, 879 nt
Organism: Passer domesticus (house sparrow)
Lineage: Eukaryota; Metazoa; Chordata; Aves; Passeriformes; Passeridae
Exons: 5
Source: RefSeq, a predicted model, not a curated record
GAUCGGGAUCCUCUGGAGCAGAGCCGGGAAUGCCGCAAGGGAAAAGGGUUUUGGAAGGAAAACCUCCAGGGAGCUGCUCCUCAUUCCCAAGGCCUUGAUAAGGAACCCGAAUCUUAUCACUCCAAACCCCUUGGAAAAGACUUUUCAUGGAUUAAAUCCCAGGUUUCAGCUCCCUGUGGCACAGGAUCCAGCAAACAGGGAUGGAGGACAAAGAGCGCAUUGUGUCCACUGGAGGGAAUUGCAGCGGGAAUGGCUGUGCAAGGAAUUGAGUCCAGGAAUUCACAGAGGUGGGACUCCCACCUCAGUGUCCCACAGGAAGGUCCUGGGCUGGUGCAUCCACAGGCUCUUCCUGGUGGAUCCAGAGAACUUCUGGAGCUGCCCUUGGGAGCAGAAUUCAGAGGAGGCUCUUCUGCCCAGGGGAAACUGAGGCAUGGUGCGCAAACUUCUGCACAUUCCAUUCAGCAGAGCUGGAAUCACAUGGAAUCACGUGGAAUCACAUGGAAUCACCUGGGACACAUGGAAACAUAUGGAAAUGUGUGGAAACACAUGGAAUCCCAUGGAAAUGUGGAAUCAAGUGGAAUCACAUGGAAACCCAUGGAAUCACAUCUUUCUGAGUCCAAUCCAAUUUUCCAAAUCCAGAGCAAACAUCCUGCACAAAGCCCUUCCAGGAUUAUCCCAGGAAUGCCACCAAAUCCCCGUAAAGUUCAUGGAAUGAGGCUUCCUCUGGAAACGUUCCUUGUGUCCAGCUGGGUGGGGAACACCUCCCAGAAAAUUCCUCUCCCCAUGCUGGAGAUUCACUCCCAGGGAAAGCCUCGAUGCAGAUUUAAUGGAAUCCUGGAAUGGUGGGGUGGGAAGGGACCUUAAAGAUCCUCCAAUUCC